CACGUAGUUAGCCGGGGCUUCCUCCUCGAGUACCGUCAUUAUCUUCCUUGAGGACAGAGCUUUACGACCCGAAGGCCUUCAUCGCUCACGCGGCGUUGCUGCAUCAGGCUUUCGCCCAUUGUGCAAUAUUCCCCA
RNAcentral lists this ribosomal RNA (135 nucleotides) under uncultured bacterium. RNAcentral describes it as "partial 16S ribosomal RNA". The record is from RNAcentral.